GCUGUAUUGCUCUGGAGGCCGGCUGCAGGACAGGCCCAAUGAGAGGAUGCACACAACAGGGAACACUGCUGUGUGCAUCAAAAACAACAAGGAUACCGAAUAUAAAUCUCUGUUUUUGCAGCUUUUUGCGUUUUCAGUCAAACUGUGAGAAAACUGAAAAGAUCAUAUCACAUCUGCCUAUUCAAGGUCAUAAAGCGCACAAGCACCAGCAUAAUCAAUUGAAUGAUCUUUAAGGCAGAUUUUGUCAUGUUUACAGCAGCAGAGUAUGAGUAUGUUAUGUCUGUCUUCAAGGAUAAAUCAAAUAUUAAGUAUUCAAAGUAGACAUAAAAACAGUGCUGCGUUAAAAAUCUCCUCUAUGGAAACUUUCAGAAAAACAGAGUUUCAGCUGUGUGCUGCUAAUCUGUUCAUCUGAAACCUACCCCACAGCGGCAAUUUCAUGCAUUUAAAUUAACCACUAUGAAUCAUCAGUCUUUAUGCUGAUGGUCUGAUUUGCUUUUGUAGGUCAUAAAGAGACAUCAGGAUUAAUUUCAGUCUGUUUCAUAACCACCUAAAAAAGUCCUCGGAGAAGAUUUAAGUUAAGGAUUCAAGCUGUGCAUGAGGAUGGCGAUAAUGGCACAUAAAUGUGGGAUUUAUGAAGCAAACACUGGACAAAUAAUAAAAAAAAAAGCUUGGCGUGCAGUUUAUUGUGCUGAUAAGCUGUCCAAAAGACUGUGUUUCUCAUAAAUAAAAUCCCAGUACCAUAUUAUUGAUUUGCUAUUUCCUAUUAGCAGGUACCAGACUCUGCUCAAAAUCCCUUGUUUUUUUACACCCUGAUUUAGCCUCCCUGGUCUAACGACAUAUCAGCUGUGGUCAACUCCCAGCACACAGGAAGAGCCUUCGAAUUUCCUCCAUGAAUAGCCAAGGCACACAAUGCAAGUGUCACUGUUAUUUUGCACCCACACAGUCUUUAUUUUUAUGCCUCUCGUCCAUGCCAUGUAAACAGACAAUGGAGUUGCACUCAAGUUGGCAUGCAUGGGUGUGAGGUGUUUUCAGGCACAAAGGUGGAGUGUACAAUCUUGAGGUCUACCCAUGAUACUGCAUUGCUAUGAGUGCCAUUCAGGGCUGUACAGUGUGACCAUCUCACUCACAUCUGUGACUAAAAAAAAGAUAUGUGCGAAUUGUAAAAUGUAUUUAGGGGCACAUGUGCCCAUUAAAAAAAAUCAGCCAAGGCAACAGAUGUUUUUUCAUGUAAAUACCGUUUUAGUUACCGUUUUAAUAAAGUUAGUUUUAGGUUGGAUAUUCGAGGGACAUUGCAGCUCUACCGGUGUUUUCUCACUCUAUAUCUAGGAACAGCAAGAGCAGCGCGUUUAAAUCUACACCACGGUGUAGUGAGUUUCAGGUAGGAUAUUAGAUAUUCGAUCCCCAUAACUGGGGAGGGCAACAGUAGCACGGUUAAAUCUACUCUGCACCCUCGCUGUCAACGUCGGGUGUUGAAUAAGGGACUAUCAAUAAAUUAACAGUUAAUGUUCUCAUAAAAAUCUUUUUUUUUUCAAUAGCUUCCAUGUCACGUGACCAAUUGGCCUAAAAUUGAUUUCAAAUAAUCGUACUAAGGUCGGACGAUAAGACACAUCUCUUUAUUUCCCUAAUUUGUCCUCUAAAAAUGCCUAAAAGGUGAAUUUUGAACACUUUCUUCAAUAGCUUCCAUUUCAUGUGACCAAAAGACCUUAAAUUGAUUUCAAAUGAUAGCACUUAUGUCGACCAGUAAGACACACAUUAUUUGAUCAAUUUUCGUUGUGCCCCUUCAGUUCUUUGUGUGCUCCUUACCUUUCAACUUUCAACUUACCUUUCAACAUGUGCUCCUUGUGAAAAAAGUUAGUGUCAAGGCCUGCCAUUAAUUAUCAUACCUGCAGCUACUGAUUAUUCAUAUAUCUUAUCCAUUAUGCACACGAUAAAUCCUCUUCCACGAACUGGAGUGAGUUUUUAAACCUGAUAGAUUCACAAAAGAAACUGUUCACAAACUAUAACAAGUCAUUGGGAAUGACGCCUAUGAGAGAUCUUUGCAGGAGAAGCUGAGAGUUAAAGAGCUUGGACCUUAUCAGCUAAACAGCAUUUCAGCUGAUAGGGGAAGAAAUUACACUCAAGCGCUGAUUUACUGAGAAAGGCUAAUGGCAUGUAGUGAUGCUAAUGCUUUAUUUAGCUUCUUUCAAACAUCAAGAUCAAACCCAACAAGAAUUCAGACAGGCAUGACCAAUUAAAAGCACUUCUGAGAAAAGGAUGAAAAGGGUCUACAUUGUUCAUUCAGCUUAACAAACAAAUGCUUUUUAUUUGGAUUGAGCGCACUGGUGUAUUAUCUGUCGUUACUCCUUACACUGAAUAUGUAUAUUUUGGAUCACAUCUUGUAUUCAGCACUCCAUAACGUAUAUUUGUUUUAGAUUUUGGGGUUGUAUUUCGAUGCAGUAUAUCCAUGAAAAAUGCGCCUGCACCUGUAUAUUUGUAUUCAGCCAGUCACUGUUAGAGGUGUGAACAGAAGGAGAGGGCACAAAUGUCCCUGCUCCAAAUGUGGAAUUAUUUUUGCAUUGUGUACUUUCUGCACUUUCUGUCUUCUUUGUGUUUGUGUCGACGUGUCUCGGGGUGCUCGCUGUGUCAAAAAAAAAAAAAAAAAAAACGAAAAAAAAAAGUCUUGGCCAAGAAAAAGCCAGUCAGAACUUUAAAAAUAAAUUUAAAUAGCUGCCCUCUGCUGUUAAAAUGCAUUUGCUCUUAUUCCCUUCUUCCCCCACCGUUCUGCUCUCUCUAGUUUAUCAUUUACUGUGCUCUCCCACAAACCCUCACUGGUGCAAGAGUGUGUUUUUAUUACCACACAGUGCAUACACUUCUAAACAUGGACACUAACUGUAUGUACACACAGUGUGAAGCCCUGGGUCAGAGACAACUCGGCUGAGGUUCAGCACUGCAGGCUGCUCUCCUCUCCUCAAUGGGGAUGACUGGAGUGUGUCGGACGGAGAUUUUACCGCCCCCGGUAUUGUUUUCCCUCCAGGAUGAUACUAGAAGAGGGGAACUUUUUUUUUUUCUCGAGUGUGCCCCUUAUGGCCGGUUGAGCUCCCAUCAGUCAUGCUCAGAUGGCUCCAUCUACCUUCGGCAGGCUUGCCACAUGUGUGAUUUUGAAAGAGGGUCGAGCCUGCAGAGAGGCUGAACCCAUAAUGUGUCUAUAAUUCUGACAUGUUGCUUCAAGGAGGCACUUCUUCCAACUCUAGAGAGGAGAAAAAUAAGGUCACCUUGGUGUCGAAAAAUUAUGAAUGGCUUCUCUGAUCUUUGGAAAAAGACAUUCCUGUCAUCUGGAGGUGAGGAAAACAACUUAGAUUCAAAGACCUUAUCAAUCAAUAAUGCCAGAAAACAGCCAUCAGCAGAAACGUUUUAAAAUGAGUCAAAAAACAACCGGCUGCAGUGUCUGCUUCCUCUCAAAUUAGCAGCUCGGCUGCACGACCAUGUUUAAAAAGGGUGUCGCUGAGAGUCUCAGGAGAAAAGGUUGGAGAGGUCCACCGCUCUGUGAGCGACUGCAUGAGCAAAUGUCAAAAUCAUGAUCCUCAGCUUGGUACACAAGAUCAUCAGAAGAUUCAGAGAGUGGAGAAAUUUUGUGUGGGGAAAAAAGACAAGGCCACAAACCAGUACUGAACAGCGGUGAUCAGGUGGGUGACACUGUUUUAAAAACAGACAUGACUCUGUAGUAGAAAUCAGUGCAUCACUGCAUCCACAAAUGCAGGUUGAAACUACACUAUGCAAAGAGGAAACCGUAAGAAAUUAUGAUCUUAAUGCACCAUUGACUUCUUAGGACCUGAAUCCAUUUUGGGAUGAUGGUCGGAUGUAUCAAAAUAGAUAUUCUGUUUGGAGUGUUACCCCUAAUUUCCACCGCAUGCGGAACGGCUGCGAAGAGGCCUUUUCUAUUCAAGUUAAUGUGUUGAGUUUCCACCGGCUUCUUCACAGCCGAUUGCUAGGUUUCUAUUUUUUCCGGACGCCGCAGCAUACCACAUAAAUUCAGCACAGGAAGGAAGGGAAGUCGGGCACAGACACAAAAUAAAACAUCCAGUUUCUUUUAGAAAUAAAACACUACGUUUUUCAGGUGGACUGUAUUUCUCACCAUGCAAACAUGGGUGGGGACGAACAAGUUAAAGGUUUUCAGACAGCAUUUCACCCCGACACCAUGGAUGAGAAGAUGCUGAUUCUAGAAGCCUAGAAGUAGAUUUCCUUCUCUGGAAGGACACAAUCUACUGCUUGUAUGGUUAUGUGGCUGUCUUUAUAUAGACAACUUGUUAUCGCGGGAUUGCAUGUGAAUUCACUGGGUGUUGUGAGUUUUGCAAUUCACGCUGUCCAAAAUCCACCACAAAAUUCGCCUCACAAACACAUCCAGAAGGAACUGGCGAAAACUGAUGCCUUUCCAUGGCGGAGCCAUUCGUAUGCAGCGGAAAUUUGGAGUUAGAGGGUAGACUUGCAUGUUUCAGCAGGAGAGUGCCAAACCUUACUCUAAAUGUAUUGCAACAGCUUGGCUCCAUAGUAGAAGAGUCCACUGACCUGCCUUAAGUCCAGACUAGUCACCCACUGAAAACAUUUGGUGUAUUAUGAAACAUUUCUAUUAACAUUUUGCACAGUGUACCAGGGUUAUGGACGGGAAUGCACUAAUUUGGGUCUGUUCGUAAGCUUCUAUGACGUUAUACAGCAGAGCUAUUUGGACUUCCCUUUUGAAGUUAUCCUUGAAACCUGAAUGAAUCUCAUUGCUCACAAAAAUAAAACUUUGCAGGUAAAUGUUAAAAACAAUGAAGGAGCAGUGCUGAAUUAAAAUGUUAAUUUUCUCUCACACAAAAAAGAAAUAAAUAAAAUGAAAUGACAGUGUAAUACAGAUUUUGAAGGUCUUGAAUGACCUUUUGUAAAUUAAAACAUUUGAAACUCAAACAAGGUCAUAUCAUUAAAAGCAUAUUUUAAGUUGAGGAAUUCACUAAAGUCAGCCAAACUCACUAAAGUUGUGGAGUGGAUUUUUAUCCGUUGAAAUCUUGGUUUGGGGAAAGCUGUGUGCUCAAAGUGCGUAGAGAAGAGGAGGCUGCGACCCUGGGCUUUGUCUGAACCCACACAGCAUGGAUUUAAAAUAAUAAUGUGUCACUAUAUCAACCGCUGGUGACUGUGCAGACUCUCAAUAGCACAAAAACCUCCCCUUUGUUCCCCUGCAGCUUUAAGUCCUUCGGAUCAGAUAUGUGCAUGAGUUCUUUGUAAAGAUGAGAUUUAUCCUCAUCCAGCAAGUUCAUUGUACAUACCCACGGUGUGGAAAUACCAGAUUAAUACAAGCAGUUAAUGAGUUUCUUAUGUGGCAAGUAUUAAAGCACUUCUUAUUUCCCAAUUGUGGAUUAGAGUUGCAUUUUGAAUUCCACAUAAUUGAAAAACUCUAUUAUCAAUUCCCUUCCAUGUGUUAUUAUCGAUGGUGACUCAUGGAAACCUGAAGUUACAUAUACAGCCAGUGCUACACUUGAAUCAGAUGCACAAAAAGAAGGAUUAUACAAGCAUAUAUCAGGGGAAAAAUACUCUCAGUGCUGACAUAGAAGGAAGGAUAUCUUAUCUUUCUGAGUGAUGUAUAUCUGCAAUUUGUGGCAAGCAGAAGAGUUUCCUGUUACGUGUCCUGUGUGAAAGAAAGUCUAGUCCUUUUGCAGUUAUCAAAACAUUCUCCACAAUCAACCACAUUAUGUAAAAAUUCUUGUUCGUUGUGAGUGCCAAAAACCUUGAACAUUUUAAUAAAUUCUUCGGGAGAGUAACUUUCCUCAAAUGCAGGAAACUAAAUACCAGCAUUUUAAUUUCUCAAACCUACAAGUAUUUCAGAUAUUUCAACUUUUGGGACAAUUUGCUUCAAGCCCCAACAAGAAUACCGCACCAAUGCUAUGUACAUCUAAGCAUGUUCAGGAGUGAUAAUCUUCCUAGCUGUUUAAUUGUAAAUAUAAAUCCAGAGCUGACAAAAUUCAGCACAAUUAGGUAACACUGCUGAAAUUGUGAGUUUAACAGUGUGGAUUUAGUCUGUCCAGAGUACCUAACAGUAGCAGAGCCAGCACCACCAGACUUCAACCCUCCAUUGCUUUAUCAAAUGGCCACAUGUGUAGACUAGACACAACCUUAAACAAAUGAUCACCGUUUUCUAGAUUACUUCAAACUCAUCUGUUUUAAAGAUAUUAAGACCAUUUGCUAAAAGGCUUCCACCUCACCUCUUGAUUUGACAAGUUGACUAAAAGUAAGAUAAAGUUAGCAAAAAAAAAAGGGUUCUAUGGCUGAAAUAACAUCCUUGUUUUAUUGCCUUGUUUUGGUAGUGUUUCAAAAUGUAAAACUACUUUUUCAAUUAUGAUGAAUAUCUUAUUUCUUACUUUAUAAGGCCAAAAAUGUGCUAAAAUUUGAAUUCAUAAAGAAUAAAGCAGAAAACUGACCCCUCCCUCCUUUUAGCACGAGUUGGACCACCCCAGUCUAAGAUAUGUGGUUACACCCCUGUCUCUGGACACAGCAGUUCAAAGUGAUGAUGGGAUAUUGUUUGGUACAGAAGUAGGCCUGAACGAUAUAUCGUUUGACUAUCGUCAUCGCGAUGUACGUGUGUGCGAUAGUCACAUCGCAGAGCCUGCGAUAUUGGAGGUGAAUGAACUCAUUUAAUUUCAAGGGUAACCGACUGAGAUACACUCCAUGUGACUCUGCAUGUGCUGUGCAGCGAUCCACCAAUCGCCUUCGUCCUUAACUCAGUGGCCAAUCAGACUCACUUCUCAGUUGCCAAUCAGACUACCCUGCCAGCUGUCAAUCAAAAUCAGGGAGGAGAAAACCCACCCCUGCACAUGUUCUGCACAUGGAGGGAGACGUGUGUCCGCUGAGAAUUACUUUCGGAACUUUACUGACUGUUAAGCCCAGCAAAUAAGAACUGUAUGGGUUUUAAAUUGUACAUUUCCGUGGACCACUCUACUAUAAGCAGUGCGCGUUUUGCGAGGUGCAUGCAAUUCUCGGAGGACAUGCGUUUCUCGGCACAACACCGCUAACGACAACAACGAUCGCAAAAUGAACAACGAACAAGAGAAAACCACCGAAAAUGAAGAUUUGUUGCCAAAAAGAAAAGGAAAGUCAGUUAUCUGGAAUUAUUUCGGUUAAAAGAAGGAUGAUGUCGACCAAAACACGUCUUCUGUGUUCAUCUGUUGCCACAAUAACGUCCCAGCACAAUAAAAGCUAAAAAUAUCUCUGAGACAGACAGAAGCCGUUCUACUAACAUUCACAAAAAGAGGUAAGAUCAGAGCAGAUUAACUGUCCUCAAGAUUUCAGCAGUGCAGCAUAACAUUAAGUGCUGUUCAGGUCAUCUGGUGAAAAUACUGUAUUUUUAAUAUCACAAUAUAUAUCGCAGGGUUGAAAAAAUCGCAAUAUUAUUUUUUUCCAAUAUCGUGCAGCCUUAUACAGAAGUAAAUAAAUAUUUAAACAGGCCUCAUAGUAAUACCAGUCUGUGUAGAUUAGGUAAUGAGAUAUAAAAUACAUCAUAACUCACAUUGGAUGCCUACUGUAUAUUUAAUGUAAGCUGGGUAAUUCUACAGACUAAUGAGUAUAAGACAUCAGAAAUACCAAGUGUUGUUGCAGCGAACUGCCACUGUAGCUCAGUCAUUUUUAACCAAGGAUGGCCUUAUAAUGUUGGAAAUGAUCUAACAUAAGCUAAGAAACUAUACAUGUUUUUUCCAUUAGGUUUUGUAUAUAACAGCAGCAGCACUAAGGGUUAAAAUGGAAGUGAAAAGAGAGAGAACAUAACCAGAGUCAAAACUAUUUUUUUCUUUUUUUUUUUGUUGUCUUGCACAAACACUGAUUUCGAAACUGACAAGAAGAAAAUCUCUCUCAGCAAAUUUAGCAACAUUUACAGUGCUCCCAGGUAAUUUCCUCCCAGUGGUUACCAAAGUGUGACAUCAAUCUGUAGUAAACAUGCUGCAGGGUGAGGAGAAUCCCACGCAGUUUCCCUUACACUCAUUUGUAAAGGUAAUGGCUGAAAGCCUGAAGUAGCACUUCUAAUGAAGGCCUGGUGGGGGGAAAAAUGGAAGAUGGAAGAGAAGAAGACAUAUUUUUCUGGGGACAAUGGUGGUAGACUGCAAAAAAACGGAGCUGACAGUGUCCUUUUAUGAGAUGCUAAUAUAUUCUGGGUGAGAGUGUGGUGCUCUCCUCAUUAGCGGGCUUCUGGUUUGACAGAGGUGUUGGGGUGGCUGCCAUUCAACCCGGCUAAUUAUCCAAA
This is a non-coding RNA of Xyrichtys novacula (pearly razorfish), 8236 nucleotides long. The record is from the annotation of a GenBank genome assembly. NCBI's taxonomy places the organism in Eukaryota, Metazoa, Chordata, Actinopteri, Labriformes, Labridae.